This 1905-nucleotide ribosomal RNA is filed under the name Loricera pilicornis. Its description in RNAcentral is "SSU rRNA". It matches the Rfam family "Eukaryotic small subunit ribosomal RNA". Lineage: Eukaryota; Metazoa; Arthropoda; Insecta; Coleoptera; Carabidae. The record is from RNAcentral.
UUGUCUCAAAGAUUAAGCCAUGCAUGUCUAAGUACAAGCUAAAAUAAAGUGAAACCGCGAAAGGCUCAUUAAAUCAGUUAUGGUUCCUUAGACCGUACCCACAUUUACUUGGAUAACUGUGGUAAUUCUAGAGCUAAUACAUGCAAACAGAGCUCCAACCGGAGACGGAAGGAGUGCUUUUAUUAGAUCAAAACCAAUCGGUAGACGGGUCCGUUACGGCGGUCUCCGUUUAUCGUACACCAAAUGGUGACUCUGAAUAACUUUUGCUGAUCGCACGGUCUCGCACCGGCGACGCAUCUUUCAAAUGUCUGCCUUAUCAACUGUCGAUGGUAGGAUCUGCGCCUACCAUGGUUGUAACGGGUAACGGGGAAUCAGGGUUCGAUUCCGGAGAGGGAGCCUGAGAAACGGCUACCACAUCCAAGGAAGGCAGCAGGCGCGCAAAUUACCCACUCCCAGCACGGGGAGGUAGUGACGAAAAAUAACGAUACGGGACUCAUCCGAGGCCCCGUAAUCGGAAUGAGUACACUUUAAAUCCUUUAACAAGGACCAAUUGGAGGGCAAGUCUGGUGCCAGCAGCCGCGGUAAUUCCAGCUCCAAUAGCGUAUAUUAAAGUUGUUGCGUUUAAAAAGCUCGUAGUUGAAUCUGUGUGUCGCACUGUCGGUUCACCGCCCGCGGUGUCAACUGGCACGUUGCGAGACGUCCUGCCGGUGGACUGUAGGUAUAUCAUUUCGGUGGUAUGCCAAGGUCCGGUUUUUUGUUAAAAAUCCUGUCCUGGUGCUCUUGAUUGAGUGUCUCGGCAGGCUGGCACGUUUACUUUGAACAAAUUAAAGUGCUCAAAGCAGGCGAAAAUUAUGCUUAAAUAGUGUGUGCAUGGAAUAAUAUAAUAGGACCUCGGUUCUAUUUUGUUGGUUUUCGGAACAUUCCGAGGUAAUGAUUAAUAGGGACAGAUGGGGGCAUUCGUAUUGCGACGUUAGAGGUGAAAUUCUUGGAUCGUCGCAAGACGGACUAAAGCGAAAGCAUUUGCCAAAGAUGUUUUCAUUAAUCAAGAACGAAAGUCAGAGGCUCGAAGGCGAUCAGAUACCGCCCUAGUUCUGACCAUAAACGAUGCCAGCUAGCGAUCCGUCGACGUUCCUCCGAUGACUCGACGGGCAGCUUCCGGGAAACCAAAGCUUUUGGGUUCCGGGGGAAGUAUGGUUGCAAAGCUGAAACUUAAAGGAAUUGACGGAAGGGCACCACCAGGAGUGGAGCCUGCGGCUUAAUUUGACUCAACACUGGAAACCUCACCAGGCCCAGACACCGAAAGGAUUGACAGAUUGAGAGCUCUUUCUUGAUACGGUGGGUGGUGGUGCAUGGCCGUUCUUAGUUGGUGGAUUGAUUUGUCUGCUUAAUUGCGAUAACGAACGAGACUCUAGCCUAUUAAAUAGACGUUACUUACCGGUAUCUCGAAGGUCGUGGCUACCGCUUCAUUCGUCACGGGCAUUUUUCAUACAACGUACAACUUGUUGUGCCUGUAUGAUGUGUUCUGUGUGCGUUAUGUUCGGUGGUUCAUGGUUUUUACUACCGGCGUACAUAUGAAUCUUCUUAGAGGGACAGGCGACUUCUAGUCGCACGAGAUUGAGCAAUAACAGGUCUGUGAUGCCCUUAGAUGUUCUGGGCCGCACGCGCGCUACAAUGAAGGAAUCAGCGUGUCUUCCCUGGCCGAGAGGUCCGGGUAACCCGCUGAACCUCCUUCGUGCUUGGGAUUGGGGCUUGCAAUUGUUCCCCAUGAACGAGGAAUUCCCAGUAAGCGCGAGUCAUAAGCUCGCGUUGAUUACGUCCCUGCCCUUUGUACACACCGCCCGUCGCUACUACCGAUUGAAUUAUUUAGUGAGGUCUUCAGACUGGCACCCGGUGGCGUUUCUAACA